Molecule: ribosomal RNA, 496 nt
Filed under: uncultured bacterium
Lineage: Bacteria
Description: partial 16S ribosomal RNA
Rfam family: Bacterial small subunit ribosomal RNA
Source: RNAcentral
GAUGAACGCUGGCGGCGUGCCUAAUACAUGCAAGUCGAGCGAACGGACGAGAAGCUUGCUUCUUUGAUGUUAGCGGAGGACGGGUGAGUAACACGUGGAUAACGUACCUAUAAGAGUGGGAUAACUUCGGGAAACCGGAGAUAAUAGCGGAUAAUAUUUUGAACCGCAUGGUUCAAAAGUAAAAGUCGGUCGUGCGGUCACUUAUAGAUGGAUCCGAGCUGCAUUAGCUAGUUGGUAAGGUAACGGCUUACCAAGGGAAGGAUGCAUGGCCGACCGGAGCGCGUGUUCGGCCACUCUGAACUUAGACACGGUCCAUACUCCUACGGGAGGCAGCAGUAUGCAAUCUGCCGCAAUGGUCGAAAGCCUUACGGAGCAACGCCGCGUGAGUGAUGAAGGUCUUCGGAGCGUAAAACUCUGUUAUUAGUUAAGAACAUAUGUGUAAGUAACCGUGCACAUCGUGACGGUACCUAAUCAGAAAGCCACGGCUAACUACGUG